Molecule: ribosomal RNA, 253 nt
Filed under: uncultured Limnobacter sp.
Lineage: Bacteria; Pseudomonadati; Pseudomonadota; Betaproteobacteria; Burkholderiales; Burkholderiaceae
Description: partial 16S ribosomal RNA
Rfam family: Bacterial small subunit ribosomal RNA
Source: RNAcentral
UACGUAGGGUGCAAGCGUUAAUCGGAAUUACUGGGCGUAAAGCGUGCGCAGGCGGCUCUAUAAGACAGGUGUGAAAUCCCCGAGCUCAACUUGGGAAUUGCAUUUGUGACUGUAGGGCUAGAGUGUGUCAGAGGGGGGUGGAAUUCCACGUGUAGCAGUGAAAUGCGUAGAGAUGUGGAGGAACACCAAUGGCGAAGGCAGCCCCCUGGGAUAACACUGACGCUCAUGCACGAAAGCGUGGGGAGCAAACAGG